Molecule: transfer RNA, 71 nt
Filed under: Cricetulus longicaudatus (long-tailed hamster)
Lineage: Eukaryota; Metazoa; Chordata; Mammalia; Rodentia; Cricetidae
Description: tRNA-Asn
Rfam family: tRNA
About the family: Transfer RNA (tRNA) molecules are approximately 80 nucleotides in length. Their secondary structure includes four short double-helical elements and three loops (D, anti-codon, and T loops). Further hydrogen bonds mediate the characteristic L-shaped molecular structure. tRNAs have two regions of fundamental functional importance: the anti-codon, which is responsible for specific mRNA codon recognition, and the 3' end, to which the tRNAs corresponding amino acid is attached (by aminoacyl-tRNA synthetases). tRNAs cope with the degeneracy of the genetic code in two manners: having more than one tRNA (with a specific anti-codon) for a particular amino acid; and 'wobble' base-pairing, i.e. permitting non-standard base-pairing at the 3rd anti-codon position.
Source: RNAcentral
UAGGUUGAAGCCAGUUAUUGGGCGUUUAGCUGUUAACUGAAGUUUCAUAGGUUUAAAUCCUAUCAAUCUAG